CCUCACAACAUAAGACUUAAGUUAAGUAAACUCUCUGCCUUCAAAGCAGUUAAUAGGUGAUAGUUCCGCCUAGUCUUAC
This 79-nucleotide transfer RNA is filed under the name Ophiopholis mirabilis. Its description in RNAcentral is "tRNA-Trp". Lineage: Eukaryota; Metazoa; Echinodermata; Ophiuroidea; Amphilepidida; Ophiactidae. The record is from RNAcentral.